CCCUGCCCCACUCGCCUCCUUGCCUGGAGACAUGGGGUUAGAGGGCAGGUAGCAGUGAGGAGGUAUCUCCAGUCUGUGGAGGGGUUGAGGUGUGCUCAGCAGAGGGUCCCUGGGGCUGAGCAUCAGGAGAGCAAGGUUUGCCUGCACCUUUCAAGACCAGACACUGGACCUCUGGCCCCUCCCUCAGCCCCUUUGACCGUCCUCGCCCUGGAAGCAGUGUCCUCACUCUGGGAGCGGUGCUGGCUGGUUGGAAGGUGUCCUUUCUGCCCCUGCCCCCCUCCCAAAUCCUUCUCUCGUGUCUGCCUGCUCUCCUAAUCAGGCUCGCUCAGCUGGCCUUCAGAGGGUAGCAAGUGUCUCAGGGCCCGCUGGGUGUCUUCCUGCUGGCCCUGCCCUGGGACUGGAGCUCAGGGGGUUGGCCUGUAAGCAAGAGCACCUUUCUGGGUCAUUCCAAGCACUGAGGUCCCUGGGCCCUCUCCUCCCGUCCCAUUUUGGGGGCAAGGAGCCUGUGGGCAGCCUCCAGCCUGCGGUUCUCAGCUCUCUACUUUCCAGGGUGUUCCCUGGUCCUCAGAGGGUCCCGCCUGCUGUGUCUUGCUAUCUGUGUUUUGGCUGUCGUGGGGAGAGGUCUGCUUGAUUCGGGUUGACAUGCCGUUUCUAACCUGUUUUUUGCACUUUGCAUCUUUCUCCCUCCUUUGUCUCUCCCUCUGUCCCCUCUGUGUGCACUGCCUUUCACUCCGUAGUUCUUGGGGACACAUACAAUAUUCCUUUAGACCCCCGAGAGACCAGCUCUUCGGCCACCAGCUACAGCUCUGAGUUCAGCAAGCGGCUGCUAAGCACCUAUAUCUGUAAAGUGCUGGGCAACCUGCAGUUGAACUUGCUGAGCAAGUCCAAGGUGUACGAGGACCCAGCUCUGAGCGCCAUCUUCCUGC
RNAcentral lists this long non-coding RNA (926 nucleotides) under Pan troglodytes (chimpanzee). RNAcentral's name for it is "long non-coding RNA NONPTRT007342". The record is from RNAcentral. Lineage: Eukaryota; Metazoa; Chordata; Mammalia; Primates; Hominidae.